AUUGAACGCUGGCGGCAUGCUUUACACAUGCAAGUCGAACGGCAGCAUGGGUGCUUGCACCUGAUGGCGAGUGGCGAACGGGUGAGUAAUGUAUCGGAACAUAUCCGCAAGUGGGGGAUAACGUAGCGAAAGUUACGCUAAUACCGCAUAUUCCCUGAGGGGGAAAGGAGGGGAUCCGCAAGGACCUUUCGCUUACGGAGUGGCCGGUAGCAGAUUAUCUAGUUGGAGAGGUAAAGGCUCACCAAGGCUUCGAUCUGUAGCGGGUCUGGGAGGAUGAUCCGCCACACUGGGACUGAGACACGGCCCAGACUCCUACGGGAGGCAGCGGUGGGGAAUUUUGGACAGUGGGGGCAACCCUGAUCCAGCCAUGCCGCGUGAGUGAAGAAGGCCUUCGGGUUGUAAAGCUCUUUCAGCUGGAAAAAAAUCGCUUCACCUAAUACGUGGAGUGGAUUAUGUUACCAGCAGAAGAAGCACAGGCUAACUACGUGCCAGCCGCCGCCGUAA
Molecule: ribosomal RNA, 504 nt
Filed under: uncultured bacterium
Lineage: Bacteria
Description: partial 16S ribosomal RNA
Rfam family: Bacterial small subunit ribosomal RNA
Source: RNAcentral